GCUCGAGUGGCGAACGGGUGAGUAACACGUGAGUAACCUGCCCUUGACUUUCGGGAUAACUUCAGGAAACUGGGGCUAAUACCGGAUAGGAGCUCCUGCUGCAUGGUGGGGGUUGGAAAGUUUCGGCGGUUGGGGAUGGACUCGCGGCUUAUCAGCUUGUUGGUGGGGUAGUGGCUUACAAGGCUUUGACGGGUAGCCGGCCUGAGAGGGUGACCGGCCACAUUGGGACUGAGAUACGGCCCAG
This 244-nucleotide ribosomal RNA is filed under the name uncultured Actinomycetales bacterium. RNAcentral describes it as "partial 16S ribosomal RNA". It matches the Rfam family "Bacterial small subunit ribosomal RNA", at positions 89 to 334 of the family's 1533-position model. The record is from RNAcentral. Lineage: Bacteria; Bacillati; Actinomycetota; Actinomycetes; Actinomycetales.